UGGGGAAUUUUGGACAAUGGGCGCAAGCCUGAUCCAGCCAUGCCGCGUGAGUGAAGAAGGCCUUCGGGUUGUAAAGCUCUUUCGGCCGGGAAGAAAUCGGUUGGGUUAAUACCCCAGCUGGAUGACGGUACCGGAAUAAGAAGCACCGGCUAACUACGUGCCAGCAGCCGCGGUAAUACGUAGGGUGCGAGCGUUAAUCGGAAUUACUGGGCGUAAAGCGUGCGCAGGCGGUUUUUUAAGAUAGGCGUGAAAUCCCCGGGCUCAACCUGGGAACUGCGCUUAUGACUGGAAGACUAGAGUAUGGCAGAGGGGGGUGGAAUUCCACGUGUAGCAGUGAAAUGCGUAGAGAUGUGGAGGAACACCGAUGGCGAAGGCAGCCCCCUGGGCCAAUACUGACGCUCAUGCACGAAAGCGUGGGGAGCAAACAGG
Molecule: ribosomal RNA, 429 nt
Filed under: uncultured Rhodocyclaceae bacterium
Lineage: Bacteria; Pseudomonadati; Pseudomonadota; Betaproteobacteria; Rhodocyclales; Rhodocyclaceae
Description: bacterial SSU rRNA
Rfam family: Bacterial small subunit ribosomal RNA
Source: RNAcentral